GGAAAGGAAAGGGGGUGGUUGUGGAUUUCAGUGCAGGAAGCAUCUGUCCAACUUAGGAUUCGAACCCACGACCCUGAGAUUUAAGCGUCUCGUGCUCUGCCGACUGAGCACAGGUCCUGUCCACUUUUGAGACCAUAACCAUCUGUCAUGGGUUUAGGCGGGGGGCGGGGCGGGCAGCUGCCCCCCCCAAGGAAAUAAAAAGUAGAAAUCGUAGAAGGAUAUUUGACCUAUGUUAAAUUUUUAAAUCCGCAUUAAAGCAAUACUGUGCCUAUGUCAGGGGAGAAAAUAAAAUAUUGCAGGUAGUAAAGCCAUCUCUGUGUGCCUCUCAUCAGUUUUAAGAUAGAGUGAGAAAUGAAGCAGACUUUUAAAUGAGGCUGUAUUGGGUGCUAUUUUAGUAAGCUGAAACGUAAAAACACACAAUGGCUGUUGUCCUUUCAAUGCAAAUAUAGAAACCAGUCAUUGCCCAGGAGUGUCUUCCACCUUUAGGAGAAACGCCCAGGUUUCUUUGGAGAUUGACAAAAUGAAAACAGAGAAACCAAGUAACCCUUGUGGCAACACAGACAGAGAUUAAAUUUAGGUGGAGUGCUAGGUAGAAAUGUCAAUAUAAACCACACUUACUUAGCAGUUUUAUGGAAUGUUCCAUUAGAGGAUAACAUCUCAUCUUCAGGUGAUACAAGAUAGUCUUCCUUCAGAUCAGGAUUCCGAAGCUGAAUGCCUAAAAUCAACACUUUCCAAAUCACAUGAAAAGGAAAACCAGCUGUUUUGGCCCAUGAGAGAAAUUCAGCAAGCAAGCAAACAAAACGUUAGGACAAUACCUUUAUUUGGUCAGCCAAGAUGGGGAAAAACUGCAAGCUUUUGAGUUCUUCAGAGCUCUUAAUCAUGGGCAAACAAAGCAAAUAAAAAACAAGGUAGGGGAAGAGAUCACUCACAAACGUACACAUGCACACAACUAGUGGUGAACAUGGGAACUCGAAAGCUUGUACUCAGACCACAGUAACAUAGCUGCUACUGAAAAUAAUUUCUGUGUAGCUGGUACAGUACUUCACAUAGCUUCAGCAAUAGUUGAUUUACUUCACAUGUUACCAGAGCUUUUUUUUCCCUAGAAAAAGAGGUAAGUUGUUGAGCUUUGUUUAGGGGGAGCAACCAGCCAUAGCUGUUGAGUUUUGCUUUUUUUAGGGCAAGGACUUCUCUUCUUUGCCGUGCUGCCUGCCUCCAACACGCAGCCCCAAAUGGCACCUCAGCACUUCAGAGGGGCAGGAACACACAAAAGAGGUGCUGGAACCCAGUUCCAAUGAGUUCUGGCUGAAAAAAAGCCCUGCACAUUACUUUGGCAUGGUUAUGUAUGUGGAAACAUGCCUUGAGGGGCAUUGAGGUCGAGUCAGAUGCAUGCAACUAGAUCCUUGUUUGAGAGUUGCCACCAUCAUUUGCUUAAAGUGAUAUUUGAGGUUCUUCCUUAGACAGACAGAACAUCUGAAGAAUUUUAGAAGCAAAAGACUUUCUAUACUGUUGAAUAAUUUUUCUUCAUUCUUUUCUGUUUCUCUUCCCCCCUCCCCCUUUGGCUUUGUUAUCAAAAGCACCUUGUGGUGAACUUACCCUAUUUUGUUCAAUCAAUCAAUCAAUCAAUCAAUCAAUCCUUUAUUAGUCAUAGCAAACCACACAUUAUAAAACGAACACCAUAUACAGAUUGUGGAAAAUAUGAAUUUGGCAUAACAAUUUGCAUAAAUAAUACAGUAUAACACUACCACAUCACCGACCAAUCAAGAACCACUAAAUCUCUCUAUAAUGGCCCAGUCUUUCCACAUGGACAGCACUCAAUAAUUUAGCCACUAUUAAAGUAAUUUGAUUAUUCCUGUCCGAGAGCAGGUCCUGAACCGUUGGCGGCAUAGAACCGAGCCUGUUAAGUUGUAAGGUCUCUAACAAUUGUCUUCUGGCAUAAAUCCCAAAAUCACAAAGUUCCUGCCUACCACAUUUGCAGAGACACUCUGCUUCUGGAAGAGCUAAAUAUCUUUCUAUUAACCUAUUUUGUUGUUUCUGUUCCUUUUUCCUCUAGGACACAUCACAGCCAACCUUAAACCCCUAAUUCAAAUGUCUGCUCUCUGAAAGUGGUCCUGUAUGCAGAAGUGCAACUGUAACAGCGCCUCUCACUUCUCCCAUGGAGCCUGUUCAGAAGGAAAGCAUCAAAAGCUGCUGGUAAAGGAAAAUUAUCAGGGUCGCACUCUCCUUGUUCUCCUUCCAAUACAGCUAAUCAACCAAAGUGACCAAAACCACAUCUGCAGCCAAAUUGAAAUGGGUCUGGAUAACCAGCUUAAUCCAAGUAUGCCUGAAGCUAAAUGGCUGUCACCUCUUAUUACAUUAGCCAACUAUUUUGAACACUUAUGAUUGGUAGCUUCGCAUGCUACUCCGUUGAGUCCUCUGCAUAUGUUUGGUUCAGCACUUGCAGUUGGAACUAGUCUAGGGUAAUUAUUUAUAGUUACCAUACAGUAUAACUGAACAGAUGCUGAACCACAGGUUCUUCUCAGAGAAACUAUGUUUGCGUUAUGUUCUGAAAUUGGGUUUAAUAAGCUUACACUAAUUUUUGUGGUUUGACUAAGCUUGUGGUUGAGUUAACUAAUUUACCCAAUACUUAUCCUGCCUCUUAUAAAUGCAUAAGUCUGUAGUGAUGGAUCAAAUUUGUUUAACAACGUUCGUAAGUUGAGGAGGGGGGCAAUGGGUGAUAAUAUAAAUACUUUAUUGAUCUUCUACACAUUAUUUCUUGCUGAUUGGACCACUGACAUCUGUUUUCUUGUAGCUGCAUACAACACCUGAGUUUGCUUUUAAUAUUUGUUUUUAAAACUUAUUUGGUCAAUUAUCCCCUCUUCCUCAACAAUUUAACUGUAUUUCUUGCCAUGUAUCAUUCAUGGAACUUAAUGGGCAGCGUUCAACUGAGUUUUACUCAGAGUAGACCCAUUGGAUGAUAUUCAUCUGAGUUUUACUCAGAGUAAACCUAUUGAAAUGGGUUCAGAAACCCCAACAAAACAAAUGAGCAAAAAUUAAAUUACUUUUAUGACCAUUUUAAAGUCAACCUUGUUUGCGAGUUUAUUUGUAAUUUCGAUUCUUUAACACAAUGUUAAAUUGAGUUUCUAAAAAAAAAAGACACAACCAUUUAAAUCUCCCCCAACACAUAUCCAUAGUGUUGACCACUAGUCAUUGUGAGAGCUCGGCUAAUAGAAGGCUUUUAAACAAUUACUCUGAGCGUUAUGUUUAUGGAAAUGUCUUUCUUCAGCACUUUGUUUCACCCAGACUUUUCAACCACAGAGUUGUUAGAUAACACCCAGAUUGCCACACAUUGACAAAUCUACAUCGGUGUGAAAUCAAGCCCUCUUUUCCCCAGAAGAUAAGAAAAAGAAGGAAGAUCAAGCUAUAGUUUCCUCCGGGGGAGAAACAUCAGCAGCAUUUUGCUUUCUGACUUAUUUUGACACUAGCUCUGACAAUUUGCACAAUGGUUAACAGGCAAAGAAAAGCUGAUUCACAAUGUCAGAGGUGUAAAAUAAAACAUUUCUAAUUUAAGCAUGGAGGGCUCUGGUAAGGUUUUUAAAAGAAGUGCUGUUACAGAAUUUUCAUUCUGCAGGGCUUCUUGAUUCUACAGUGUUUGGCAGUUAUACCAUUAAAACACAAACUAUUGCCUGCCAAACUGAAGUGGAAUAAAUAAAAACAAAUAUAACCGCUAUUGUUCUGAGAAGGUCAUCACACUCAGAUAUGCCUGACAAAGGCUGACAUUGUGACCUUCACAAAUCAAACUUGAAUGUCUUGCAUUUUCUCUAAAUGAAAGGAAAUGCUUUUCUUAACAGAAUAUGCUAAGCACACCAUAUGACAGAAUCUCAGUGGCAGGACUAGAUAUGAGAGAUAUAUCUUUGCAUGUUCUGCGGUGAAGGGAAAUAGUUAUGCAAACUGACGUGACAUGCUGUGCCAGGUGAAAGAUUAUGCACUGAGACUGGGGUGGUUUUGCAGACCUUGGGUUUGUUUCAAAAAUAAUCCCCAGUUAUCACGAAAGGAGAAGUUGCGUGCUACACAAAUGUGAGAUGUAGGUUUGCGGUUUAGAAAGGUAAGUGAAUUCCACCCAGGCCUUGCGCCAGAAAACCUGCUAGUAGCAGCCUGCUGCCGGAAAAUAAUAGGUUAUUCUCUGCAUCAUUAGGCUGCAGUAUUCUCAGCUCUGCUGUGCUUCUGUGUCUAGCCGCUCCACAGAUGUUAGCAUUGCGUGUGAUUAUUUGUUACAGUCCCUAGCAGGAAAUAGGAAAAAGGUACCUGGGAGGUAAGGAGACAAAAUCAAUAUAUUUGUUUCUCAUGUAAGAGGAGAAGUGGGGCCAGUAACAAAAUGUUGCCAAAUAUCCUCACCUCUCAGCUGUAAUGCUCCUAUUGAAGAGUUCCUGCCAGACCGUUCUUAGAGGAUGCUAUAAUCAGGAAGGAACUCAAGCAGGGCAUCCCAUUUCUUCCCCUUGUUUUCUCCCCCCCCCCCCCCGAUUCUUCAACACAAUGUUAAAUUGAGUUUCUUAAAAAAAAGACACAACCAUUUAAAUCUCCCCCAACACAUAUCCAUAUCGUUGACCACUAGUCAUUGUGAGAGCUCGGCUAACAGAAGGCUUUUAAACAAUUACUCUGAGCAUUAUGUUUAUGGAAAUAAGAGCCAGUGUGGUGUAGUGGUUAGGAGCAGUAGUCUCGUAAUCUGGGGAACCGGGUUCGCUUCCCCGCUCCUCCACAUGCAGCUGCUGGGUGACCUUGGGCUAGUCACACUUCUCUGAAGUGUCUCAGCCUCACUCACCUCACAGAGUGUUUGUUGUGGGGGAGGAAGGGAAAGGAGAAUGUUAGCCGCUUUGAGACUCCUUCGGGUAGUGUUAAAGUGGGAUAUCUUCUCUUCUCUUCUUCUUUUUCCUUUUAAAAAAUCAAACAAAACUCAACAUUCUGUGGCUCCUGGACACGCUCAAACCUCACGGGGCUGCUGUUGUUUCCCCUACAUUAUGUAUUCUCACAUCGUUAUUUUUUAAUAUUUCUGCAAACCAUGUUUAUCAGCGGCUCCAUCUGGACUCCAUUUCUGCCGGCGCUCACCCCCGAAGAUGUCUAUGAGAAUGAGUGAUACUACAGUGGUACCUCGGGUAAAGUACUUAAUUCGUUCUGGAGGUCCGUUCUUAACCUGAAACUGUUCUUAACAUGAAGCACCACUUUAGCUAAUGGGGCCUCCUGCUGCCACCGCGCCGCUGGAGCACGAUUUCUGUUCUCAUCCUGAAGCAAAGUUCUUAACCCGAGAUACUAUUUCUGCGUUAGCGGAGUCUGUAACCUGAAGCGUAUGUAACCCGAGGUACCACUGUAUAUCUGCUGCAGAUAGUCAAAAUUUGGGAAAUGUUGACGUUCACAUGUGAGUCCCAACACUCAAAUUAAUUUCGUGAACAAGAGAUGCAUUUGCCCACUUUUCAAAUAUAUGUGCACAUGAAUGUUGCAUGUAGGUGACUGUCAAAAUUCACUGGUGUAUCUUUUGACAAUAUUCAUCACACAUGAAUAUCAACAGUCACCGAUCUCCUGGCAACUAGGAUGACUGUGAUCUAUUUAUUUAUUUACUUCACAAAAUUGCAGCUUGCUUGGUUGUAAUAUCAGUAAAGAAAAGUUAAAAACAACUGUAGUUAAAAUAUUCAAAAAACAAUUAAAAUCUGCUUAAGAUCCAUGUCAACAUUCUACAUGUCUGGAGAGGCUUGCCUAAACAAAAAUGUUUUAGCAUAUGUUGUAAAGACUUUUUUGAUGUCAAAAGUGUGGCUCACCUUUUUAACACCCAUGCUUAGCACCCAUGUAGUUAUAUGGUACAUUCUGAGCUGGUUCAGAUUUCUCAAAGAAAUGCAAGCAAUUAUUGCUUCUUCCUCACUUCUACUUUAAUAUCCAAGAGAGGCUCAUAGAUCUCAACAUGUUUCAGAUCUACAGGUCAUACUUUGCUUAUUAGAAGGGAGGUGAGGGGAACAAUGAUUGUAAAAUGUUACCUGUCUGAUCUGUGGAGGGCAGUGGCGGUGAUGGACUUGCUUUGUGGCAGGGAUCAGACUAAACAGACUUCUGGUUCAAUCUAGCGCUCUGAUUCCAUCAUCCUAAGACUACCUGGUGCAUUCUCAGACUGUGCCUCUGAGCAGCAGCUGGGCCACACUCAGAGGAGAGCAUUUGUCAUGUCUAAAUUUAAAACCCUGCCAGUGGCAGCUGUUUAGAGGAACCACUGAACUGGCAAAUUUCCCACUUGAGCUAAGGUAAAUCCUAUUCCUGCAGAUAAGGUGGCUUGAACAAUACAAUGAUUUAUUAUUGCUACAAGAAUGCAAAGAGUUAAUUUGGUCAUAUGUGUCAUCUAGUAAGCAUGUGCUUUUGAUCAGCAUCUUGGUUUCUUCCAAUAAUUUAAUCAGAGGAAUACCAUGAAUCAUGUAUAUGCCAAAAUAAAAUUUUAUUUCCGUGUUUAAUGGCAAAACAGGAAAUCUAAUUUGGGAGUAUAUUGAAUUUUUUAAAAAAACAACAACCAUGCAUUCUAGAGUACCAUGAGACCUUGUAAUUUGUGUUCAUAUAUAUAUUACAUGUUUAAGCAUAAACAAUUGUAUGAAAUACACAUUUAAGCAACUUUCUCUAGUUUGCUUGUUUACACCAGGACCAAAGUCUUCUCUUGAUGUAAAAACGAUAUAUUAUGCGAAUUUUGAUUUGUUGGAAAAUGGGACCUUGGCUUUAAUCUGUUGUCAUAGUUUCUUGCUUAAGGGGAAGUGUGAAGCAGAGAUGUCAAACUAAUUAAACAGAAUAAACUAAAUUGAUUUCAACCUC
Podarcis lilfordi (Lilford's wall lizard) is the source of this 6804-nucleotide non-coding RNA. Lineage: Eukaryota; Metazoa; Chordata; Lepidosauria; Squamata; Lacertidae. The record is from the annotation of a GenBank genome assembly.